RNAcentral lists this ribosomal RNA (449 nucleotides) under uncultured bacterium. RNAcentral describes it as "partial 16S ribosomal RNA". It matches the Rfam family "Bacterial small subunit ribosomal RNA", at positions 329 to 795 of the family's 1533-position model. The record is from RNAcentral.
CACCAGACUCCUACGGGAGGCAGCAGUGGGGGAUAUUGCACAAUGGGGGGAACCCUGAUGCAGCGACGCCGCGUGGGUGAAGGAGCGUUUCGGCGCGUAAAGCUCUAUCAGCAGGGAAGAAGAUGACGGUACCUGACCAAGAAGCUCCGGCUAAAUACGUGCCAGCAGCCGCGGUAAUACGUAGGGGGCAAGCGUUAUCCGGAUUUACUGGGUGUAAAGGGGGCGCAGACGGCGAUGCAAGCCAGGAGUGAAAGCCCGGGGCCCAACCCCGGGACUGCUCUUGGAACUGCGUGGCUAGAGUGCAGGAGGGGCAGGCGGAAUUCCUGGUGUAGCGGUGAAAUGCGUAGAUAUCAGGAGGAACACCGGUGGCGAAGGCGGCCUGCUGGACUGCAACUGACGUUGAGGCCCGAAAGCGUGGGGAGCAAACAGGAUUAGAUACCCUCGUACCC